Molecule: unclassified non-coding RNA, 336 nt
Filed under: soil metagenome
Description: partial contains 5.8S ribosomal RNA, internal transcribed spacer 2, and large subunit ribosomal RNA
Rfam family: 5.8S ribosomal RNA (bases 1-120)
Source: RNAcentral
GAUGAAGAACGUAGCGAAAUGCGAUAAGUAGUGUGAAUUGCAGAAUUCAGUGAAUCAUCGAAUCUUUGAACGCACAUUGCGCCCCAUGGUAUUCCGUGGGGCAUGCCUGUUCGAGCGUCAUUUACCCCCUCAAGCUCCGCUUGGUGUUGGGCGUCUGUCCCGCUUCGCGCGCGGACUCGCCCCAAGGGUAUUGGCAGCGGUCGUGCCAGCUUCUCGCGCAGCACAUUGCGCUUCUCGAGGCACCGGUGGGCCCGCGUCCAUCAAGCUCACCCCCCCAGUUUGACCUCGGAUCAGGUAGGGAUACCCGCUGAACUUAAGCAUAUCAAAAGCGGAGGA